AAAUAGCCCCUUAUGUUUUGAUUCUUUGGCAGUUUUGGACCCCCAAGGCAAAAAAAAAUAAAAAAAUUGACACGUGGCACCUCACUUAGGGUGCCACGUCAGCGUUGACGGAGACAACAAUGGACUGGGGGUCCAAAACUGUCAAAGAAUCAAAAUAUAGGGGGCUGUUU
MicroRNA precursor from Medicago truncatula (barrel medic), 170 nucleotides. It matches the Rfam family "MIR2619 microRNA precursor family". The record is from Rfam. NCBI's taxonomy places the organism in Eukaryota, Viridiplantae, Streptophyta, Magnoliopsida, Fabales, Fabaceae.